UACGAGGGGGGCAAGCGUUGUUCGGAAUUAUUGGGCGUAAAGGGCGCGUAGGCGGUUUGGCAAGUUUGGUGUGAAAUCUUCGGGCUCAACUCGAAGUCUGCAUCGAAAACUGCCGGGCUUGAGUAUGGGAGAGGUGAGUGGAAUUUCCGGUGUAGCGGUGAAAUGCGUAGAUAUCGGAAGGAACACCUGUGGCGAAAGCG
RNAcentral lists this ribosomal RNA (200 nucleotides) under uncultured bacterium. RNAcentral describes it as "partial 16S ribosomal RNA". It matches the Rfam family "Bacterial small subunit ribosomal RNA", at positions 524 to 723 of the family's 1533-position model. The record is from RNAcentral.